Molecule: long non-coding RNA, 1661 nt
Organism: Hemicordylus capensis (graceful crag lizard)
Lineage: Eukaryota; Metazoa; Chordata; Lepidosauria; Squamata; Cordylidae
Exons: 3
Source: RefSeq, a predicted model, not a curated record
UCAGCCAGAAAACUCCGUUCUAAGCCUGGCAGUAAUUUGGCCCAAAUGAAGUGUUCUCUAUAUCCAAAUAGAUGGCUUGCAAGUUUUCUAAAAUAUGCCUUAAUACAAACGUGUAUUUUGCAGUCUAGGCCCUUGUAAUGGACUUUUAAUAAAGCCGCAUAGCAAUAAAUAGCAUGCAGCCAAUUGGACCAAUGCACAUCCAUGCGGAUGUGUCAUCUUUUUUCCAAGCCUGCAUAACUUAGUAGGAAGUUGAAAGAGCUUCUUCUUGUUGCCCUCUCCACUUUGGCAUGUUUGUUUUGCUUUCAUCUUCCAGUCUCUUCUCCUCAGUAGCAACUGCCAGGCCUUCAGCCAAAGGGAUGGCCCCGGGGUUCCUUUGUUUAACAGCUGUUCUGUGCUGCUUGCACAAAUUGCUUGGCAGAGGGUGAUUUGUAGUGACAAGGCCUGAACCUUUUCCCCAGAGAUUCACCAGAUACCUUAGCAAUGCUCAGUGUCUCUCAAGACUGGGAAGAGGAAGUCCAACUCCUUCACUGGAGCUUGACCUUGCAACAUCUGAUCUCUCGCAUACUUUGUUCUUGCUUCCACUGGUACAACAAUUUCUUAAGCAGGCUGGAUGACUCUCUGUAUGUUACAGAUGGAGGAAUACAUCUGCAGUGACUCAUUUUCAUUGUUCACCUCUUCAAGUCAGCUCCUCUUGUUAGUUUCUGGUUGUGAGUGCCCUGGUGUCUUCUGACUAAGAACCUGUGUGCAGAAUUGCCCUGAAGACUCUAUUGACAAAUUCUUCAACAUUAAGGUGAGAGAAAUCCCAGUGUGAUUGGACUCUGAAGUUGAUUACCAGUACUACUACUCCUUUUUGCCUCAUCUUCCUUUAAAACUAGGACUGGAUCAAAACUACCCAUACCAUUCAUUUUAUAUAAAACACAUAUUAUUUCUGUUUUCUGAAGCCCUUUGAAAAUUUUCAGUAGACCGAUGGAAUCUUCAGAGGAGUCCUAAAGGGACAUGCUUGGAGAAGCCCUGCAACAGAGGCCAUUUUGAAAGAGAAACAGAACUCAUGAAUAUUCAGCUCAACCCUAAUGAACCCCCCAUCCCCGCAUGCACUGUACAGAUCCUGGGAAAAUAGAAAAUGGUACUAAGAGAAAUUUUCCAAGAGAAAUUAAGAACAACUUUGAAUUGGGAAUAUCUGAACUUUGCUUGUGAUGUCCUAGGCAGAAGAGAGCGAAAGUUGAGCAUACAUUUUAGCCAAAGUCAGCCGUGUGGGGUGACUGCUUGCAUGGCAGGGCCAAGAAAUUCUGGAUGUCCAAGAGAAGCACAUUGUCAAUCACGUGUGUUUUCCCUUAAAAAAAAAAAAGAUCUUGUCCAUUAAUGCACACUCUCUAGAUCUGGAGCUAUACAACUAAUUUUUGGUGUCUUAAGAUGAUUGCAUAGGAAUGUAAUGAAAAUAAAUAGUGCAUUUUGUCAUAACAACAUCUGGGUUCAUCACAUGUGCACCCACAGCUUGGGUGAGGUGUUUAGAAUCCUUUAUGAAGAGCUGUUCUAGAAAGUGUUUAUCACUUUAAGAGAAGGAACUUUCACACAUGAAGUGAGAGCUAGUGAGGAAAGGACCAGAGAGUUGCAAGCUAGAAGAGAUAACUAUGCAGUUUGUUCAAUAAAGUUAUGUUAAUAUU